This 382-nucleotide long non-coding RNA is filed under the name Durio zibethinus. Its description in RNAcentral is "long non-coding RNA (DZIB_LNC001331)". The record is from RNAcentral. Lineage: Eukaryota; Viridiplantae; Streptophyta; Magnoliopsida; Malvales; Malvaceae.
CAUUUCAGAUAGGAUGAAAAAUGAAUCCAUCCAAAGGGAACAUUCCUUCCCCACCCACCACCGAACCUACUUAAUAGGGUAGAAAUGCCCCCCGCUUAUGUAAGUUCCCUCCUUCCGAGAAUAAGUAUUUCGGUGGGAAGACUCCUGCCUGGAGGCAGUAAGGUUUGUUUAGUUUUAGUUUAGGCUGCAAAAGACCUAUGAUAAAAGUGUUCAAUUUUUAAUUAUAACGCUUAAAUUUUAAUUUUUAAUAAUUUUAAACACAAAAAAUUUGCAUGGAUGAUCCUAAAACAACAAUGCAAUUAUCAAUUUUGCAAUAUAAAACUAAAAAGACCUAAUAUUUUUUUCAUUACAUGUAUUGUUUUUUUAUAUAAUUUUUAGCAUU